RNAcentral lists this transfer RNA (65 nucleotides) under Dipodomys ordii (Ord's kangaroo rat). It matches the Rfam family "tRNA". Rfam says of the family: Transfer RNA (tRNA) molecules are approximately 80 nucleotides in length. Their secondary structure includes four short double-helical elements and three loops (D, anti-codon, and T loops). Further hydrogen bonds mediate the characteristic L-shaped molecular structure. tRNAs have two regions of fundamental functional importance: the anti-codon, which is responsible for specific mRNA codon recognition, and the 3' end, to which the tRNAs corresponding amino acid is attached (by aminoacyl-tRNA synthetases). tRNAs cope with the degeneracy of the genetic code in two manners: having more than one tRNA (with a specific anti-codon) for a particular amino acid; and 'wobble' base-pairing, i.e. permitting non-standard base-pairing at the 3rd anti-codon position. The record is from Rfam by way of RNAcentral. Lineage: Eukaryota; Metazoa; Chordata; Mammalia; Rodentia; Heteromyidae.
GGUGGCUUAGUGGUAUAGUGCUUGUCUGGCAUGCAUGAGGCUCUAGGUUCAACUCCUUGGUACCA